CGAGAACUACUCGGAAUGUGAGCGGACGGGGCAGGAGUGAAGUGAAGGAGAGGAAAAUGGUGGGGAUGAUGCCAGCGCUGAAUUCUCGAGUCACGUUACUGAACAUAGUGGAUCAACACAAAGAUAAAGAAGCUGGCUUUGUGGGCAUGCAAUCUAUGCAGUCACCGAGUCUGAGUCCCCACACCCAGAAGAGCUUCUUGAUUUGUUUAAUAGUUUUUGGCCCCCUUAAAAUUUUUAAUAUUUGUUGUAAAUUAUUUAAUUGGUUCUGAGGCAAAUUAGAGGUAAUGCUUAUUUUGAUGAUGAACUGUGAAUAAUAACAGAAGUACCAGACUGGAAGAUCUCACCUAGGAUGCAUCACUAAUUAAUAGUCUGAGCACUGGAAGUUAACCAUUUAAUCUAUCUGGUGAACUUGGUGAGUGAGUUAAACUGGAGCAGUAGUUUAAAGCAGAUGAUACAGUCCUUAUGAUUUUUGAUUUUUGCUGCAGCGGGAAAGAGCUUCCCUGGUGGCUCAGAUGGUAAAGAAUCUGCCUGUAAUACAGGAGACCUGGGUUUGAUCCCUGGGUCAGGAAGAUCCCCUGGAGAAGGGAAUGGCAACCCAUUCCAGUGUUCUUGCCUGGAGAAUUCCAUGGACAGAGGAGACUGGUGGGCUUUAUAGUCCAUGGAGUUGCAAAGAGUCAGACAUGACUGAGCAGCUAACACUGCUACUACUGAUGGAGGGGAACGAGGGGACCGGCCUCUGGGUCCCUGUUCCUGCUUCAGUGUGAAGAGUGGGUCUUUUGUCUCUUGCAUGUUCCAAAGGUCUCUUCAGGGUCAACUACACUAUUCUAGGAAUAGUAUUCUUGGAAGUCAGAACUUAUGACUGGGGAUGAGGUAAAAACAGAGAGGCAUAGAGUGCAGUGAUUUUCCAGGAUGAAAGGAGUUUAUGUAAAGAUUUGGAUUGGGAAGGGCCAGAUGCCAAGAAAAUUAUGAUGGCAAAUUAAACUCCUCACUUGCCAGCUGAAAUACUGUCUGCAAUGAAUUCUUCCUUGAUUCACCUCGUUUCUUCUGACAUUUCUUUCAUCUGAACUCCCAUUGGCCUUAAGAUCUUAUCACUCAUUUGACACAAACAUGCUGCUUUAAAUAACAUUUUGAUAAAAAUGCUAAUAUUAGCAUUGCAGUACUGUAUUUUUUGUUUCUGGUGGAAUAAAAGUUUCAUUUGGAUGGCC
Molecule: long non-coding RNA, 1205 nt
Filed under: Bos mutus (wild yak)
Lineage: Eukaryota; Metazoa; Chordata; Mammalia; Artiodactyla; Bovidae
Description: lncRNA (ENSBMUG00000026704.1)
Source: RNAcentral